UACGUAGGGUGCAAGCGUUGUCCGGAAUUAUUGGGCGUAAAGAGCUCGUAGGCGGUUUGUCGCGUCUGCUGUGAAAACGCGAGGCUCAACCUCGCGCCUGCAGUGGGUACGGGCAGACUAGAGUGCGGUAGGGGAGAUUGGAAUUCCUGGUGUAGCGGUGAAAUGCGCAGAUAUCAGGAGGAACACCGGUGGCGAAGGCGGUUCUCUGGGCCUUACCUGACGCUGAGGAGCGAAAGCGUGGGGAGCGAACAGG
Molecule: ribosomal RNA, 253 nt
Filed under: uncultured bacterium
Lineage: Bacteria
Description: partial 16S ribosomal RNA
Rfam family: Bacterial small subunit ribosomal RNA
Source: RNAcentral